RNAcentral lists this unclassified non-coding RNA (1232 nucleotides) under Camponotus floridanus (Florida carpenter ant). RNAcentral's name for it is "cell division cycle 7-related protein kinase, transcript variant X4". The record is from RNAcentral. Lineage: Eukaryota; Metazoa; Arthropoda; Insecta; Hymenoptera; Formicidae.
GGGCGCAACAGGACAUGCGUCCGCUGAAGCAGGAUGGCCGCUCUCAGGUUUCUCUCUGACGCAGACAGCUGUCUAAAUCUGAAAAAAUCGAUCCCACUUCUAAAUGAGCUAUUCCACAUACAUUGUAAAAUUGGAGAAGGUACAUUUAGCUCUGUCUUUUUGGCUACUAUGAAGUCUUCUAAUAGGCAUAAAAAGUUUGCAUUAAAAUACUUAAUUCCUACUUGUCAUCCUGAAAGAAUUGAACGUGAAUUACAAUGCUUGCAACAAAUGGGAGGUAAAGAUCAUAUUGUUAGCAUAGACUUAUGUUUAAGACAUCAGGGUUCUGUAGUGUUUGUAAUGCCAUAUAUGAAGCAUGAUAAAUUUUCAGAAUAUGUCAGGGAUAUGACUGUAGAAGAAACAAAGGAUUAUAUGAGAGCUUUAUUAAGUGCUGUGCGAAGAGUUCAUCAGUUUAACAUCAUACAUAGAGAUGUGAAACCCAGUAAUUUCCUCUACAAUCGUGCUAAUAGAAAAUAUUUAUUGGUAGACUUUGGGCUUGCUCAGCAGUGCACUGAAUACAAUGCAAAGAAUUUGGAAGCAAUAAAAACCAAUGCAGGAACAACUGAAAUACAAAGCAUGAAGCGAAAGAGAUCUGACGAAUUUAAUUCAAAUGCAAAGAAGGAUGCAGAUAUUAAAUGUAACUGUUUUGGGAAACCUAAAGUAUGCGCAUUAUGUUUAACAAGACCACAGCAAACGGCGCCUCGUGCAGGCACACCUGGAUUUCGUGCUCCAGAAGUUUUAUUGAAACAUCCAUCACAAACUCCAGCAAUUGAUAUUUGGGCUUGUGGCGUGAUGAUGUUAUGCAUACUUAGUGGUACACAAGUGUUUUUUCGUUCGCCUGAUGACUGCACAGCUUUAGCGGAAAUAACAACGAUAUUUGGUUCUCGCAAAGUACAACAAUGUGCAGAAAAAUUAGUGAAAAUUUACCAGGCAUUGAUAUUAUGUCUUUGUGCCUAAAAUUACGAAAAAGAAACAGAAGCAUGAUGCAUAAUAGAGAGAAUAGUACAUGCAAGGUAUUGCCAGAUAUCGAGUAUCCGAAGGAAGCAUACCAACUUUUGAUAAAACUUUUAAAUCUAGAUUAUGAAACACGUAUCACUGCUGAACAGGCGUUAUCUCAUCCAUUCCUGAAUUUGUGAUAUAUUGAUUUUUUUUAUAAAGCAUGUGUCUAAAGGUAUUUAAAAUUAAAGAAAGGAGAG